This 338-nucleotide unclassified non-coding RNA is filed under the name soil metagenome. RNAcentral's name for it is "partial contains 5.8S ribosomal RNA, internal transcribed spacer 2, and large subunit ribosomal RNA". The stretch from base 1 to 120 matches the Rfam family "5.8S ribosomal RNA", at positions 35 to 154 of the family's 154-position model. The record is from RNAcentral.
GAUGAAGAACGCAGCGAAAUGCGAUAUGUAAUGUGAAUUGCAGAAUUCAGUGAAUCAUCGAAUCUUUGAACGCACAUUGCGCCCGCCAGUAUUCUGGCGGGCAUGCCUGUUCGAGCGUCAUUUCAACCAUCAAGCCCCCCCGGCUUGUGUUGGGGACCUGCGGCUGCCGCAGGCCCUGAAAAGCAGUGGCGGGCUCGCUGUCACACCGAGCGUAGUAGAUCUCAUCUCGCUCAGGGCGUGCUGCGGGUUCCGGCCGUUAAACCACCUUCAUAACCCAAGGUUGACCUCGGAUCAGGUAGGAAGACCCGCUGAACUUAAGCAUAUCAAUAAGCGGAGGA